RNAcentral lists this long non-coding RNA (5437 nucleotides) under Canis lupus familiaris (dog). RNAcentral describes it as "lncRNA (ENSCAFG00805006247.1, ENSCAFG00845021376.1)". The record is from RNAcentral. Lineage: Eukaryota; Metazoa; Chordata; Mammalia; Carnivora; Canidae.
AAAGUUCUGCAUUCCUUGUUAGCAUUUAAAGAUUUGGGCAAUUCAAGUAUAGAAUCACUCCUGGUUUGGCUUCUCUGGAAGAUUCCAAGGUGGAGUGGCCCCGUUCUGCAUAGGUGUGGUCCUCAGCUCACUGCCUGCUGUAUUUUCUCACUUGGGUCCUCCAGCUGCACCUGCACCCCUCAUGCUUGUAAUCUGCCCAUCUGGUUCCGGAAGUCACCUGAGUCACUAUCCCCAGUGGAUGUGGCGAACCUGAGCUCCCAUCCCAAACUAAUGCUUAAUUCAUUCUCAACAAUGUGUACUGUGUUCCUUUCCAGCUUUACAGACUGUUCCUUGGGGAAGAAGGUGGAAGCAAAUAAGAGUGGAGAACUUCUGCUUUCUCGCUGUCAUCUGUUCGAAUUGCAUCAUCUGCUCCCAAUCCCUUCCUUUUCCUUCUUGCUCCAAACAUAGCUCGAAAAGCCCUUUUUAUCGUCCUUUGCAUUUUUUUGCAAGCCUCAGCUCUUUCUAGGGUUUUGUCUCCAGCACUCUUCUUACAGAAGCAGUGUCAGUUUGCAUUUGUUUUAGGGCGGGAUGGUGCGUCAUAGAGGAGCACACCUGCAAAAACAACUAAAUUAGAAAUCUAACCACGUCUUCAGGUUCGCAGUGGGAUCUACUACGUCAAGAAAAAAAAAUGUUCACGUAGUUUAGAGAAAAAUCUUAAUAAACAAAUGUUAAGAAAUUUUCAAAAAAAAAAGAAAAAAAGAGAGAGAGCGAGAGAGCCCUAAAGGUUUCAUGUAUUAGUGUAUCUGAUGCCAACCUGGAUGUCAGACGUGCCCACCUAUCCUGGCUUAUAGAAGGCUAAGGAAGGGUUUGACUUGACAAAGAGGAUGUAUGCCAAACUCAGUCCCGAUCAGAGCCUUCUAGCACGCUCCGCUCGCUCCAGUUUCCAUAAUGUGUACGUAGGACCCAGUGAGUAUAUUUGGUGUGGCAGCUGGAUGAUGUUGAUGUUAUCUGCCACACAAGUUUGCCAUAAUUCGUAUAAGACAUGGAGUUUUCAAAUCAAAUUGUCAUUGGGUGUUAAUGAUAUCUACUCCUGCUGUCUUAAAACAGGGCUGGAAGGAAGCCUUUCAGGGUGUCAAGAUAAGUUGGCAUUUAACAAGAGCAGCAAGAGUGAUCUUAUUAAAAUGUAAAUCAGAUCAUAUCAUUACCUUGCUUAAAACCAUCCAGUACCUUCCACCCGCCUGUAGAUUAAAGCUCAACUCCUUUCCGCGGCCCAUGGCCCUAAGGGAGGCAGCUCGGACUUCUUCUCUGUGCCCAUCUCUGGCAACUUCUUCCUUGCUCUUCUCUUUCUAGCCACAAGGACCUUCUCUCUGGUCCUUAAACCAGACAAGCCUGUCCCCACUUCAGGGCUUCGCAUUUGCCAUUCCUUUGCCUCAGAUAGUUUUCUCUCCCAACCUUAAGGGGCGGCACUGAAGAUGCUAAUCAAGUAUAAUACUCCUUCCCUGGAGUGGGUCUUCUCUGAGCACCGUGACUGAAGUAGCCCUACCCUCCAUCACACUCUAUGCCCUUACCCCGAUUUAUGCAGCUUCAUAAUGAUGAAGCCAUACCCUGAACUACAGGUUUCUGUAUUAUGUGCUCAUUAUCUAUCUCCUCCAUAAGAAUGGAAACUUAAUAGAGGCAAGUUACUGGUCUACUGUGUUCACCUCUCUAUCCCUGGGCCCUAAAACAGUGCUUGGGAUUUUGUGGUGCUCAAUAAACAUUUGUCAUAGGUACAAAGGCAAGUAAGCAUGGGUGACCGCAGGAGACAAAUUGUUAGCAUGUCCACAAUGGACAAACUGUGCUUUGUGCUGGGUGUGUAUAUGCACACAGGGGCGUGCAAAUGUGUGUAUGUGUACACAUAUGGACUGGGUUUGUUUGUUUGUUUGUUUUUAGUUUGGGGUCUUGUUUAAGUACUUAAUACAUUUGGAGUUGGUUUUUAUGUAUGGUGUAAGGUAAGAGUCCAGUUUUGUUUAGAAGCAUGUGGACAUCCAGUUUUGCUAGCUCCAUUUACUGAAGAGACUGGCCUUUCUCCAUGUGUGUUCAUAUGUUUGGUAUCCUUGUCAAGGGUCCAUCAAUGCUACUGUGUGUCCUCGCACCCUUGACAAGAGGUGAAUCUGCAGAGGAAAUCAGGGCCACACCAGGUGGGUAAUUGUUAGCUGGCUAAGAUGUUUAGACUUUAAACUCAGAGCAGUAGUGUUGUGGGGGGGUGGUGUGUGCGGUUCUAAGGUCAUAGUACAGUAGUUCAUACCACAGGCUCUGGAGUCAGACUGCUGCCGGUACUUACAUCAUUUCUGCCACUUUGUGACUCGGAGCGAGUUACUCACCCCUUCAGGUUGGAUCUCAGUUUCUCCACCUGAGUAGGGAAAUAAUAAACUUUCCUUCCUCAUAGAGUUGUCAGAGAGAAAUGAACUGUGUGCAGAGUAUUUUCGCAUUGUGCCUGACAUAGAGUAAGGGAUCAGUAAGUGUUAGCCACUGUUAUUGUUAUUAUUGUUACCAUUUUUCCAAAACUGAGAUGAUCCAGAGGGUUUGUGUAGGCAGGAGUUGCAGAUAGAGCUGGCUGGCAGGGGAGUGACAGGGUGAGCACAGAAGCCCAGGUGCUAUCUGGUCACGUAGAACGUAAAGCCUCAGGUAAGUAAGGGGUGACAGGUGCUGUCUCAUGUAAUUGGGCUUCAGCCCUCAGUCUUUGCAUCUUUUAUUAGACAGCUGGAAACACCUACCCCCCCCCAAAAAAAAAGCAUAUUAGGGCUGGGUUUGCUAAAAAGAACUCACAGGUCACCCAGUCCAAAGGGUAAGGGAAGAUAGAACAGUGGACAAAGGAGGAAGGGACUUGCUUACUUAGAGACCCUCUCAUGUUCCUGGACUAUUUUCAGACUAAUCACAUGGACACAAGUGUUCUCUCUCCUUUCCCCAAAUAGUAGUUAUGGUAGAGACCAUUAUACACUAGACAAAUCCUAUGUAGUCCUCUUCCUCCUGAGUGGACUACAUUUCCUAGCAUCCUUUGCAGUCAAACGUGCCAUAUGACCAUGUUCAGGCUAGUGGAAAAAACAAAAGGUGAUAAAGACCCUUUCUGACGUGGCACAUGAGAACCUCCUAUGAAUUCCUCCAUGACCUUUCCCAUCUGCUGGCUGAUGUGACACGAUUCCAAGGACCUGGAUCGGCAUGAUGUCAUGAGAUAGAAGGAGCUUCGGUCCUUGUUUUGCCCAAGAGGGACAGCUGACCAGAAACACCCACUUUGAACUAUCAUGCAAGCAAGAAACACUGAAUUUUGGGGGAUGUUUGUUAUAGCAACUUACCUACUCUAACUAAAUAUACCACCUCUAAGAAAGUAUCGUCUGAGUGCUCUGUCACAUAUAUUCUAUAGCUAUCUAUACGCUGAGAGUGGAUUAAUGGCAUUUAAAAUAGAUGAACAAGACACUCAUCAAUUCUAAUUUUUAUAAGGACUACUAAACUCAUUAGUAUUAUGUCUACUUGAUAAAAAAGGACCAGAAGUUCUUAAAGUUCACAGAUACACAUUAGAAACAGUAUUUUUUGGCACCAAAUUCCAUACACUUUGUACUGUGUGGUUCUAAGUGUGUUAAGUAAAAGGAGUCUAAAGUGAUCCAGAUUAUGGUGAAUUUGGAAUGCUGAAGGAAGAAAAAAAAUGAAGAAAAAAGAUGUUUUUAUGUAUUUAAAAAGAAGUUAUCUGAACAUUGGCACUAAAUUAAAAAGAUGGAAAAUGUGGUUGAGGGAGGGGCACUCACAAUAAAAAUGAAAACUUUGAAAUCCCUUGGGAUAAAGUUAACAAGAAAUAUAAAAGAAAACUUAUUACACGUUUUAAAAGUUUAAAAAUAAGCCUUGGUGAAAUAUUUCCAGGCCCUGGAUAGGGAGAUUCAAAAGACAUCAACACAAUGCCAAAUCCAACUGUACAUUCAGGGGAAUUUCAAGCAAGAUCUUAAAUGAUAGUUUUAAUGACAAGUUGAAUCCAAAGAUCACAUGGAAGAAGUAGUAUGUAGAAGAGCCAAUAAGUUAAAAAUAAAACUAAGUGAUAGAGUAGACCAGUAAUACUUACUCUUUCCCUAUUGGAAUAAGGAUGUGUUCUCUAGAAUAUGGUAAUGUUGCAGGAAUGGGCAAAUAGUGUAACAUAACAGAGGGAAGAGUUCUGGCUUUGGACACAUUAUGUAUGACAGUUUAGUAUAUUAUGAAGAUAGCACUUCAAAUUAGGAAAUAAAAAAAUAGAUUAUUUAAUGUAUAACAUUAGGACAAUUGUCCUUUUUUCUAUGUUUUCUCUAUAGCUUUUGUAGGAAAAAAUACAGGAGCUAUUUUAAAUCCUGGUGGAAGAUUUUUGUAAGCAUAAUGCCUAAUGCUAGGAAAAGUGAAGGUCUAGGUAAGGUCGGUCAUCAAAUACUGUAGAACUUGCAAUUGCCAAAAACAUACAAAGUUUAAAAUAUUAAUGAUAGACUAAAAAAAUAUUUGUUAUGCUUGAUCACCUAAGUGCUAAUAUCUGCCAUAUAUAAAGAUCUACUAUUAGGCAAUCAUCAAAAGAUAGAAAUCCACGUUAAAAUGGACAAAAAAGCACAACGAGCCCUUUUUGGAGGCUAACAUAGAAGAAAGUACAUUUUCAAUGCACACACCCUUUCACCCAGCAGAUACGCUUCCGUGGUUUUAAGGAUACAACCCAUCCAGCGCUGCAAGACACAUGCAUGGGGAUGUGCUUUGCAAUAUUGUUUAAAAGAGUGAGAAUACGCAAGGAUUUAUUGAAAUGAAAAAUAACAGGAAGUGUCUUUUCCUUGUCAAGAUUAAAAUACGUUUGAAGCCUAAAUAGGAGAAGAAGAUGGCAUUGGUGCAGGACUAGACAAUUGAACACAAGACAGCACAGAAAUAGUGUGGGAUCCAUGAUAAAACUCUCCCCGGGAAUGGAAGCCCCACAAGAAUAGUGCUGUUCUUGUUUUGUUUGCUGCCAUGGCCCUACCAGUGAAGCAAUGCCUGGCACAUAGUAGGUGGGAAGCAUUGGGAAAAUAUCUGCCAAAAUGGUAUUGGGAUAUUUUGCAUUAUUUUUUCGUCUAAUCAUAUAUGUACUCCAUCAUGGUUCACCCUUACACCACACAAAACUAUAUUUGAGCCCUAGAUUUGCCUCUAAUUGACUGAUCUGAGUCUCCUAUUCUAAACAUUUGAAGGAAGAAUAAUACUGUAUGGGGUCAUGGAGAGAAUUCAGUCCAAAGCUCAUUAAAUGCUAACUGCUAUUUAAAAUGCUCCACAGGGGAUCCCUGGGUGGCUCAGCGGUUUAGCGCCUGCCUUUGGCCCAGAACCCAAUCCUGGAGUCCUGGGAUCGAGUCCCACGUCGGGCUCCCGGCAUGGAGCUUGCUUCUCCCUCCUCCUGUGUCUCUGCCUCUCUCUCUCUCUCUCUCUCUGUCUAUCAUAAAUAAAUAAAUACAUCUUUAAAAAA